AUGAACGCUGGCGGCGUGCUUAACACAUGCAAGUCGAACGAAGCACUUGAAACAGAUUCUUCGGAUGAAGUUUCCUGUGACUGAGUGGCGGACGGGUGAGUAACGCGUGGGUAACCUGCCUCAUACAGGGGGAUAACAGUUAGAAAUGGCUGCUAAUACCGCAUAAGCGCACGGCAUCGCAUGAUGCAGUGUGAAAAACUCCGGUGGUAUGAGAUGGACCCGCGUUGGAUUAGCUAGUUGGCAGGGUAACGGCCUACCAAGGCGACGAUCCAUAGCCGGCCUGAGAGGGUGGACGGCCACAUUGGGACUGAGACACGGCCCAGACUCCUACGGGAGGCAGCAGUGGGGAAUAUUGCACAAUGGGGGAAACCCUGAUGCAGCGACGCCGCGUGAGCGAAGAAGUAUUUCGGUAUGUAAAGCUCUAUCAGCAGGGAAGAAAAUGACGGUACCUGACUAAGAAGCCCCGGCUAACUACGUGCCAGCAGCCGCGGUAAUACGUAGGGGGCAAGCGUUAUCCGGAUUUACUGGGUGUAAAGGGAGCGUAGACGGAAUGGCAAGUCUGAUGUGAAAAGGCCGGGGCUCAACCCCGGGACUGCAUUGGAAACUGCCAAUCUAGAGUACCGGAGGGGUAAGUGGA
This 637-nucleotide ribosomal RNA is filed under the name uncultured bacterium. RNAcentral's name for it is "bacterial SSU rRNA". It matches the Rfam family "Bacterial small subunit ribosomal RNA", at positions 29 to 665 of the family's 1533-position model. The record is from RNAcentral.